Molecule: ribosomal RNA, 439 nt
Filed under: uncultured bacterium
Lineage: Bacteria
Description: partial 16S ribosomal RNA
Rfam family: Bacterial small subunit ribosomal RNA
Source: RNAcentral
CCUACGGGUGGCUGCAGUGGGGGAUAUUGCACAAUGGGGGGAACCCUGAUGCAGCGACGCCGCGUGGGUGAAGAAGCGCCUCGGCGCGUAAACCACUGUCCCCAGGGACGAAGAUGACGGUACCUGGGGAGGAAGCUCCGGCUAACUACGUGCCAGCAGCCGCGGUAAUACGUAGGGAGCGAGCGUUGUCCGGAAUUACUGGGUGUAAAGGGAGCGUAGGCGGGACUGCAAGUUGGGUGUCAAAUCUACCGGCUCAACCGGUAGCCGCACUCAAAACUGCAGUUCUUGAGUGAAGUAGAGGCAGGCGGAAGUCCUAGUGUAGCGGUGAAAUGCGUAGAUAUUAGGAGGAACACCAGUGGCGAAGGCGGCCUGCUGGGCUUUUACUGACGCUGAGGCUCGAAAGUGUGGGGAGCAAACAGGAUUAGAUACCCGGGUAGUC